Molecule: non-coding RNA, 1560 nt
Organism: Rattus norvegicus (Norway rat)
Lineage: Eukaryota; Metazoa; Chordata; Mammalia; Rodentia; Muridae
Source: RefSeq, a predicted model, not a curated record
GCAAAACCACCCUGCAGUUCAUAAAAAUUUAUGAUCCAAGACAAAAAGAGGACCCGUUUAGUUUAACAAAUAUAUACCGAGUGCUGACAAUACACUUGGCCCUACAGUACGUUCCAGGGCACACUAAGUAUGGAAGAGAAAGGCCUCUCCCUUUACAGGAAGGGAGGAAGCUGUGGUAAAAUGAUUCAGUGGGGGUAGGGGUGGGGGAGGAGUACUGAGGGAGAGGGACUGGCUGGUGAGACAAGUUGGCGAAGGGCUUCUCACAGCAUUUGGGGAAGAAGAGGGGCGUGCCCCAGUGUCCUGGAGGGAGUGAUCCAGGUCGAAGAUGCUGAUUUGUGAGGAUGUCACUCCAAGGGCACUAAGUGGCUCUGUGGACAUUGGCUCCAUGCUGGUGGAUCAUAUCGAGAGCCCUUGGUUCCCAGAAGAAACAGCACAGACACUGCAAAACUGAAGUGAGGGUGCCAAGAAAAAACACAGACUGGCCAGGAAGCAAGAGGAACCAGGAUGAGGGGAGACACAUGAGGCUGAGGCUGGAUGCUGGGUCCAUGUGGUCCAGGAGGAGGGACUGAGACAAAUGCAGGAUAACUGCCACUGCAGUUAUAGAGGAUGCCAUCAUGGUUCAACCCCUCCUUGGACUUGGCAGAGCCUCCACCUCCACUGUUCAGAGGACUGAGUCUGUUUCCCCACCCGAGUAAGAGAGGAAGGUUCUGCCAUGCCUGGGGAUGGCUAUGGAGGGAGGCCAUUGGGUGCCAGCCUGGGCUACAUCUACCCCUUGGCUGAUGGUUUCUGAUUCUUCUUUCUCCGUGUUCAGAUAGUGGUGGCUGGUUGGAGACUGCUCAGCUCUCAGCCCCAUCUAUGAAGACCCAAGUCCUCUGUUGGACAUUAAGCCAGCAUCAUUCUUCCUUUGCUCUCAUUCCCAACAGCCUUAUGUGCCCCAGCUCUCCGGGAAUAAGAAGUCAGUGUUCCUCCACACGGGCAAGCAUGAGAAUCCCAGAGUGAAAUAAAUAAGACCUUAGCUCGUGUCUGUUGGUCUGUCUGUCCUUCUGACCUUGGUGCUUCUCAGAGCUUCACCCUUCUUCCUGGACUUCACGGGUCCCCAUCUCUGUCUCCCGCCGCCCUCCGCACCCUCUGUCGCCCCAAGUUGCGGUUGUCAAGUAUUUCCACCGUCAGCACUUGCCGAGUGGAACUGGAAGUUCUUCCACUUGUGCAGCGAGCCGCGUGGGCAGGUGGGUAAUGUCUGUUUUACUCUCUGUAAUGAAUCCCAUCUUCUUCUCUCUGCCGAGAUGGUUAUUGAUUCUGUCUUGACACCUUGGUUUGUUUUCCGCCAGCUCCUGCCUUCCCUUCAUCUUGCUGUGGCCAUUUCUCCGCUCUUAUCUGUAAUUUCCUCUCUUGUUGCGCUGUCUCCCUCCUGGGCAGUCGCUGCACCAAGACAGGGGUUGUGUAUUAACUCCACAGUGAGGUCCAGCAGCCCUGCUCAGAUGGGGUGAGUUGGGCUGGUGAUUGUUAAUGGGCAAAAGCUGCUAGGAGGAAGAAGGGUAGAGGAGAGAGAGCCAGGCUUAC